CGAGCCGGGCGGACGGCCGCGUGGAGUCCCUUGCGGGACUUCCCGAGGAACGUCCGGGCUCCACAGGGCAGGGUGAUGGCUAACGGCCACCCGGGGUGACCCGCGGGACAGUGCCACAGAAAACAGACCGCCGAGGGCUCCGGCCCCCGGUAAGGGUGAAACGGUGGUGUAAGAGACCACCAGCGCCUGGGGCGACUCAGGCGGCUAGGUAAACCCCACCCGGAGCAAGGUCAAAAGGAAACACCCCGGUGUUUCUGCGCGGACGUCCGAGGGCUGCCCGCCCGAGUCCGCGGGUAGACCGCACGAGGCCGGCGGCAACGCCGGUCCUAGAUGGAUGGCCGUCUCCCCGGCCGCCGCGAGGCGACCGGGUGACAGAACCCGGCGUACAGCCCGACUCGUCUG
RNAcentral lists this RNase P RNA (402 nucleotides) under Streptomyces prasinopilosus. RNAcentral's name for it is "Bacterial RNase P class A". It matches the Rfam family "Bacterial RNase P class A". From Rfam's summary of the family: Ribonuclease P (RNase P) is a ubiquitous endoribonuclease, found in archaea, bacteria and eukarya as well as chloroplasts and mitochondria. Its best characterised activity is the generation of mature 5'-ends of tRNAs by cleaving the 5'-leader elements of precursor-tRNAs. Cellular RNase Ps are ribonucleoproteins. The record is from RNAcentral. Lineage: Bacteria; Bacillati; Actinomycetota; Actinomycetes; Kitasatosporales; Streptomycetaceae.